This is a non-coding RNA of Pleodorina starrii, 80 nucleotides long. The record is from the annotation of a GenBank genome assembly. NCBI's taxonomy places the organism in Eukaryota, Viridiplantae, Chlorophyta, Chlorophyceae, Chlamydomonadales, Volvocaceae.
AUCGAGAUGGCGCAGCGGACGCGUGCGGGGCUCAUAACCCCGAGGUCCCAGGACCUCGGGAUCGAAACCUGGUCUCGAUA